CAAGUCGAGGGGCAGCACGGUGUAGCAAUACACUGGUGGCGACCGGCGCACGGGUGCGUAACGCGUAUGCAACCUACCCAUAACAGGGGGAUAACACUGAGAAAUUGGUACUAAUACCCCAUAACAUCAGGACCGGCAUCGGUUCUGGUUGAAAACUCCGGUGGUUAUGGAUGGGCAUGCGUUGUAUUAGCUGGUUGGUGAGGUAACGGCCCACCAAGCCUUCGAUGGAUAGGGGUUCUGAGAGGAAGGUCCCCACAUUGGAACUGAGACACGGUCCAAACUCC
RNAcentral lists this ribosomal RNA (284 nucleotides) under uncultured Alistipes sp. RNAcentral's name for it is "partial 16S ribosomal RNA". It matches the Rfam family "Bacterial small subunit ribosomal RNA", at positions 58 to 339 of the family's 1533-position model. The record is from RNAcentral. Lineage: Bacteria; Pseudomonadati; Bacteroidota; Bacteroidia; Bacteroidales; Rikenellaceae.